RNAcentral lists this transfer RNA (77 nucleotides) under Verrucomicrobiota bacterium. RNAcentral's name for it is "Verrucomicrobia bacterium (hot springs metagenome) tRNA-His". It matches the Rfam family "tRNA". Rfam says of the family: Transfer RNA (tRNA) molecules are approximately 80 nucleotides in length. Lineage: Bacteria; Pseudomonadati; Verrucomicrobiota. The record is from RNAcentral.
GUGGAUAUAGCUCAGCCUGGUAGAGCCCCAGAUUGUGGAUCUGGUUGUCGCGGGUUCGAAUCCCGUUAUCCACCCCA